UGACAACCCUUAAGCCUCACAUCUCAUGUCAUGUUCACUACUCCAGGAAGCUUUUCCUUGAUACUUGUGUGAAGUGCUCUGUUAUAGUCCCUCAAAAGUACAUUCUGUUUUCCUCUUGCUACUUACACUACAAAGAUGGAACUUGUCUAAACGGUGGAUUACACUGACAGAUUUUCAUAUGUGGAACAAUCCCCCAUCUCUGGGAUGAAGCCUAUGACUGAUCUAGAUUGAAACCCAUGCCAUGAGAGGGAGGCCACCCUUGACACUGCCUGGAGGUCCAGGAACAAGAGACUGCAUAGCCCAGAGACCUAGGAAAGAAUCAAACACAACUGAGGAAAAAAGUUAUUCACACUGAUUAGUAUCUGCAACACCUGCUUCUAAAACUCCUUCAAGUUCUUCUGGGAACAUUUAACAAUGGAAGACAGCAUGAAGUCAGCAGAGUUAGACUUGUGUCCCUGUUCUGCAGUAGGCUAAUGUAUUCAUGUUCACUCAUUCAUUCAUCCAUCCUUCACUCACAUAUUCCAUGAGUAAUUGCAUGCUCACAUUUGUGAGAGAAUGGCUUCAGUUAUUGCACAAAGCAAAGUUGUUCUUAUAGUGCUUACAUCUUAAACGUUUCAUUUGUAAAAUAUGAGUAAUAGUUCUCACCUUUUGUAAUUUUAAUGAAAACUAAUGAGUUAAUUUAGGCAAAAAGAUUGGGAUGUACAAGAACCUGGAUAAAUAGUCAUUAUCCUUUUUGUAAUUCUUCAUGUGUCAAAGAUGAAAAUACAUCCACAAAGUGAUGCACUGUUAAUAGGGACUAAUAUGGCUGUUAGGUAGAACUCUUUUUAUUUGCUUCCUGUCUUGUUAAUACGUAUUAGAAGUAAUUUCAGUAGUCUUAAAUAAACAAACAGAAUUAAUGUUUCUAAAGCCAUUGGGGAAAGAUGAACAGCAAAAAUUUUGUUUUUCAGCUUGAAUAUAUAAUGUAUCUUGAAUAAUGUUUUAAAUAAGGCAUUACUUGUUUAAGAUAUUUAGACACCAUUGAUUAUGGAAAAUUAAUAUAUUUGACUUCUAAAGUUUUGGGUGGAAUUUUAUCCAAUACUUUUGUAAUCAGUGUUCUGGGAUUAUACUUGAAAACUUGAAACUAGCACACACACAUAUACACAUUCAAAAUUCAUUUCUAUUUUAUUGAUUGGAAAUAUUUACUCUUUCCUUGUAACUUACUUGCUACUUAAGGUAGAUACACUUCUAACCAUGCUGUAGUAGUCUGAAAUGGUUUGCCCCCAUCCACACGCUCCGUAGAUUCAUGUGUUUGAAUGCUUGACCUGUAUGGAUUGGCACUAUUUGGAGGUAUGGCCUUGGUGAAGUAAUUGUGGUCUUAUUGAAGAAAGUGUGUCACUGUGGGGACACACUUUGAGGUCUCAUAGUCUCAUGGUACACCCAGUUCAGCUCACAAUCUCUUUCUGUUGCCUGCAUAUCAGGAUGUAGAACAUAUGGGGUCUCGAGCCCCUUCAAGCUCUUCCAGUUCUUUCUCUGAUUCCUUCAACGGGGGUCCUAUUCUCAGUUCAGUGGUUUGCUGCUGGCAUUCGCCUCUGUAUUUGCUGUAUUCUGGAUGUGUCUCUCAGGAGCGAUCUACAUCCGGCUCCUGUCGGCCUGCACUUCUUUCCUUCAUCCAUCUUGUCUAAUUGGGUGGCUGUAUAUGUAUGGGCCACAUGUGGGGCAGGCUCUGAAGGUGUUCCUUCAGUCUCUGUUUUAAUAUUUGCCUCUCUAUUCCCUGCCAAGGGUAUUCUUCUUCCCCUUUUAAAGAAGGAGUGAAGCAUUCACAUUUUGAUCAUCCGUCUUGAGUUUAAUUUGUUCUAGGCAUCUAGGGUAAUUCAAGCAUUUGGGCUAAUAGCCACUUAUCAAUGAGUGCAUAUCAUGUGUGUCUUUCUGUGAUUGGGUUAGCUCACUCAGGAUGAUAUUUUCCAGUUCCAACCAUUUGCCUACGAAUUUCAUAAAGCCGUUGUUUUUGAUAGCUGAGUAAUAUUCCAUUGUAUAGAUGUACCACAUUUUCUGUAUCCAUUCCUCUGUUGAAGGGCAUCUGGGUUCUUUCCAGCUUCUGGCUAUUAUAAAUAAGGCUGCGAUGAACAUAGUGGAGCACGUGUCAUUUUUAUAUGUUGGGGUAUCUUUUGGGUAUAUGCCCAAGAGAGGUAUAGCUGGAUCCUCAGAGCUUGAAGGGGCUCGAGACCCCAUAUGUACAACAAUGCCAAGCAACCAGAGCUUCCAGGGAUUAAGCCACUACCUAAAGACUAUACAUGGACUGACCUUGGACUCUGACCUCAUAGGUAGCAAUGAAUAUCCUAGUAAGAGCACCAGUGGAAGGGGAAGCCAUGGGUCCUGCUAAGACUGAACCCCCAGUGAACUAGACUGUUGG
Non-coding RNA from Rattus norvegicus (Norway rat), 2389 nucleotides. Lineage: Eukaryota; Metazoa; Chordata; Mammalia; Rodentia; Muridae. The record is from RefSeq and is a predicted model, not a curated record.